GAUAAAAAGGGACAUCCAACGUCUGAUGGAUGAAGGCAUGAUUCAAAUUGUUCAAUCUCGUCAUUUAGAUGACGACGUCAAUGUCAUAGUGCCAGUUUUCAAGCAACAAGAGCGGUUGGUAAUUCAACAUGGUAGUAGCAACAAUAAUAAUGACAGUUAAAGAUCAGUGUCGUCGUUGGUAAUACGGUUAGCGGGCCCAGUCUCGUAUUCAUCUGAUAAGGCUAUACAGUACCAGUAUA
This 239-nucleotide long non-coding RNA is filed under the name Lathyrus oleraceus (garden pea). Its description in RNAcentral is "Pisum sativum (pea) long non-coding RNA (PSAT_LNC013439)". Lineage: Eukaryota; Viridiplantae; Streptophyta; Magnoliopsida; Fabales; Fabaceae. The record is from RNAcentral.